Molecule: long non-coding RNA, 332 nt
Filed under: Medicago truncatula (barrel medic)
Lineage: Eukaryota; Viridiplantae; Streptophyta; Magnoliopsida; Fabales; Fabaceae
Description: long non-coding RNA (MTRU_LNC008060)
Source: RNAcentral
AUUCUAAGGUAAGGGUGAGACUAUCUCUCAUUAAUCAUAAUCUAUAAUUCCUGAAAUUGACCUAAUUGAAUAGUUUUUGAAAAAUAAUAUGAAAAUUAGGGUUUGAUGAUGAUUCUGAUGGAAUGAGUAAAGAUGAUGUUAGUUUCUCUGAAUUUAAUGUUAAGAAUGAAAGCUUGAUCCAUGUUGUUGCUACAAUCCAUUAAUUGAUUGAAAUUUUGAUGAAUUGUAUGAAUUGAUGAAUAUGUGGAUGAUGAUAGGAUGAUUCUGUGAUUGUUGCUGUUGAUGGUUGAAUUGUGUUUCUUUAUAAUGCCUAGUUGUAUAUUGGACCUGUA